AGGAAUUGAACCCACAUCUCUGAUGUCUCCUACAUUGCAGGCAGGUUCUUUACCCACUGAGCCACCUGGAAAGCCCAGGGGGCUCUUGUGAAGGUUAAAUAGAGAAUAGAUCAGCCCUUUGCAACACUGUGGCACAGACAGCAGUCCACACACACAUUCACACUCUCUCACACCCACACUCACGUAUUUACAUAUACCUUCACACAGAUUCAUACCCACACACACAUUCACACCUCUACGCUCACACACCACAUAUACAGAUUCAUGCACACAGUCUCACACACACUAACAUACACACACAUGCACACACCAAGGUCAGAUUCUCAGAGGAACUCAAUGAUGGUGGCUCUCCUCUCCUGGCUGAAAUGAUUUUAUCAAGUCCCUCCCUCCCUCAGCCUAGGAUGUCCCCCUCUUACCAACUUUGGGGAAUCCAACACGCCAGCCUGGUUUCCAGCAUCUCUUCCUUAUACCCCACCUGGUCUAUUUAAGGACACUUUCUGCUCUUCCCCAGCCCAGACUUGACUCUCCAGCCAGGCUGGUGUCCCUAUCCCACCAAAUACCAGGUGGAGCUGCCUUUGGCUGCCCUGGCCCCACAGAGAGUCACCCUUCCUUCGUCCAGUGACUAAGUGUCCCCCCAGCCUGAGCUCCCCACACCAGAUCUUCAUUUCCUAUCUCUGGAAUCCAGCCCUGGGACAAGGGGCACUGAAGCCCACAGGAUCACAGGGAACUGAAGUCUGUAUUUCACUGAACUUUUACUUCUUCUGAAGAUGGAUGCUAUGAUGUCCAUUUAACAGAUAAGAAAACUGAGGCUCAGAGACAUGAAGAGAUAAGGUCAAGAUUGCUCAUUCAGCCAAUAAUUAUUUCUCAGGCUCCUGCUGUGAAGCUGGCCCUGUGCAAAAUUCUGAGGAUAAAAUGUUGACAGACGAUAGCCACACCCUUGUGAGCUCCUGGGGUGUGAGGAAGCCAGAGCACUGGUAGCAAUCCCGACACUGCUGGAGCACCACUAGAACAAGAGGAUGUCAACUUGCAAUUUCAGGAAAUGAUAAAACAUGAUGCAAAUACAGAAUGACAAAGUUAAACUCGGGUGUACUUCCCACAGAAUUAACUGAUCCUUUAGCGGGUCUUUUAAACAACGGUAUUGAAAGGAAACGCCACCUUAUUUGCCUCAUUUCUAAGUUUUGGACACUUUGUCCUAUAGCAGAAAGUCAUAGGCCUCUCAGCCUGCACAGAGCAGAGAAGCUUUCUGGAGGGGAAAUUCCUGAGCUGAGCCCUAAAGGAUGAGUAAGAAUGAGCCAGAGGAAGAGGGUGUGGAGGCACUGGGUAAGGCUAUGCCUUCCCUGUGUGGGCUGGCCCAGUGUUACUCCCCCCAUGUCGCCCUGCUCUGGCAACACCAAUCACUUGACAGUUGCUGGCGGGACCACGGGGCCUUUGCACAUGCUGUUCUCCUGCCAGGAGCACUUGCGGGAUCUUUCCUGCUAGUCCUCUAAAUCAAAGAGGGCUUGGGUUCCUUUGUUGACACCACAGUAACAAUCCUGUCCACAGCUUCUCCUUUGCAGCCCUGGUCACAGUUUGUAGUAUAUACUGACCUUGUG
Long non-coding RNA from Bos taurus (domestic cattle), 1592 nucleotides. The record is from Ensembl. Lineage: Eukaryota; Metazoa; Chordata; Mammalia; Artiodactyla; Bovidae.